RNAcentral lists this transfer RNA (65 nucleotides) under Phymatostetha sp. D9. RNAcentral describes it as "tRNA-Asp". Lineage: Eukaryota; Metazoa; Arthropoda; Insecta; Hemiptera; Cercopidae. The record is from RNAcentral.
UAAAAAUUAGUUUAUAAUAAAAUACUAAUUUGUCAAAUUAGAGAAUUUAAAAAUAAAAUUUUUUU